This 207-nucleotide ribosomal RNA is filed under the name uncultured bacterium. Its description in RNAcentral is "partial 16S ribosomal RNA". It matches the Rfam family "Bacterial small subunit ribosomal RNA", at positions 568 to 774 of the family's 1533-position model. The record is from RNAcentral.
CGCGUAGGCGGUUUCUAAAGUCAGAUGUGAAAGCCCGGGGCUUAACCCCGGAAGUGCAUUUGAAACUUAGGGACUUGAGUAUGGGAGAGGGAAGUGGAGUUCCUGGUGUAGCGGUGAAAUGCGUAGAUAUCAGGAGGAACACCGGUGGCGAAGGCGACUUCCUGGACCAAUACUGACGCUGAGGCGCGAAGGCGUGGGGAGCAAACA